UUUUUUUUUUUUAAUGCUUUUGCUGAGUCUACAUUUGACAUUAAUGAUAACCCAUUGUUAUUUAGGGUAUUACUGGGGAGUGGAGUUUGCAGACAUAUUUCAAUAGUGCUUCGACCCCUCAGGCCACCGUGACUGUUGCAUUUCUCUCUGUGUUCAGUUUUUACAACUCUCUAUUGUUCAUUAGGGUAAGAAUUUAUAAGCCUGACACCUUGGCCAGGGAAAGGCGCAUCACUGUUUCUGAGUUAGGGCCCUUCUGGGAGGGUGGAGUGUGGGGCAGAGUGCUUAGUGGAUGUAGCAGGCGGGAAUGCAUGUUAUUUGUAGUCAGGCCAUAUUACUACCAAAGUAUAGUCUUUUCUGCAGAUGCAGAUAGUACCCCAGGGUAGAAGAAGCAGACUGUCUUAAGUCAGAGAAGAUAUGGUUUCUGCCAGGUGCUGGGUCCACCCAGCUGUGUGACCUUGGGCAAGUCACUUCCCUUCUCUGGGCUACCAUCUUGCCCUGAACAAAAUAAGAGGGCUCUUUUAUAUCAUCCUGUCCCAUUGAACCUUCUCCAUGAAAUGCUGGCGCAGCACAAGAUGUUCUAAGAAAAAGGAGUUCUGGGAUCAAUUAACUUGAGAAACGUCACAUUCAGGUUAAAUUGGCUUUAUUAUAUUACCAACAGUUUCCCAGAGGCUGGGAUAUACUAUUUUCUCACCAUUACUCUGCAACAAAUGAUGUAGCAUUUUCCAGACUUUUUUCCUCCCCUUUGAUAAUGAAGGAAUCUGAUCUUCUAUCUAAGAACAACUUUUAACAUCCACAGGAUAUAGCAUUUUCUUGGAACACAGUUUUGGAAACCCUGGGUCAGAGGAUGUGUAAAUGUUCCUUGGUGCUUUCCUUUGUACAGCAGAAAGCCCUGUUCCUUACCUCAGUGCCUGCCCUUGUCUCACUAAAUUCUAUUUUUCUGGUACCAUCCUGGAUCUAUUCCCUUCUCUCCAUUUCCACUAGUCCUCCUUAAUCCAAGCACCAUUCCUUCUUCCCUCCCUUCCCCUGCCUUCUCCCUCUCCCUUCACCUCCCCUCUCCCUCAUCUUUCCUUCCACCUCCUCUUGUCUCCCUCCCUCCUAACUACUCUGCAUUCUUCUCCUCUUGAUCUAACUAUAAUCCUGCCCCCACAAAGCAGCUAGAGGUCUUUGGGACACUAGGCCAGGUCCUCGAUGGUUUAAAAUUCUGUAGUAAUAUCCCACUGCACUUGACAUAAAUCCCAAAGCUUUAUAAUGGCCUAUGAGGCUCUACCCAACUCUGGACCUAUCCUACCCCCUGAUCCACUCAUACCAUUUGCACCAUCUCCCUAUCAUGCAGCCACAAUGUUUUGGUGCCUACAGUUUCUUCUGUCCAGUACUGUGCUCAGAUCCUCACAGACCUACUUGUAGGUCUCAGCUCAAGCAUUGUCUCCCUGAGCUUCCCAGCUGAGGUGUCCAAACAUACUCCUCAGGCAAUCUUUUACAUGCCUAGUGUCUUCCUCACAUAAGUGUUGACAUAUUUAUUGCUGGCAUCCUUUUUGAAGGAAUGAAAAUUCCUUAAGAGCAAGGCUCUAGUCUGCCUAGUACAUGGCUGUAUCCCAAGAGUCUAUAAUAGUACUGAACACAAACCAAACACUCAGUAAAUACUUUUCAUGUAAGUGAAUGAAUGAAUGCAUCAAUGGACAUUCCCUCAAUAGACAUGAGUUCCUUGAAAGUAGAAGUAUGUUUUAUACUCUUUCAAGUUCCUACUGUGUGAUCCCAAACCUUUCUUGAGGCUAUUUUCUCUUCUGUAAAAUGGAGAUAAGAAUAGGUAGCUCACAGAUAUAUGAUGAAGAUUAAGCAGAACUUUUAAUAUGUUCUAGGGCAAUACAUUUCUAGGGCAUUGCCCAGCACAAAGUAGCUCUCAAUAAUUGUUUCCUGAAUGAAUGAAUGAAUGAAUGAAUGAAAUUAAUGAUUUUUCUAAUGCCCCAGCCAAGCAGAUAUAUUAGGCACCAUGCACAUGCUCUCAAAGUAUGUCCACAAUCCCUCCAAGUGGUGUUAUGAUCUAAAUCUGAUGCCCUAAAUGGAAAAUAAAAGCCUCUGGAAGAUUGUGGAGUAUGUUUCCCCUGAAGCUCUUAAAAGUAGGGGGAAGCCACUGCUCCGAGGUACAGCCCUGCCUGUGAGAAGAAGGAUGGAUGAAAUGGUGACAUACUUCCAGUUAAGUACCAGUCUCCACCCUACGCAUGAUUAAUACACAUGUUCUCUGUCCUCACAGACCCACAGCCCAAUGGGAAAAACAGGCAAACAUACAAUUACAGUACAGGGGGAUGAGUGCUGUAGAAGGUGACAUCCUGGCACAGAAGAAGGGUACCCAAAACAGAGAUAGGAAGUAAAGAAAUAUUCCUGGGAAAGGGGAACCCUCUUAUACUGGUGGUGGGAAUGCAAACUAGUGUAGCCACCCUGGAGAACAGUAUGGAGUUUGUUUUUGUUGUUGUUUCGUUUUGUUUUCAGUAUGGACUUUCCACAAAAAGUUCACAAUAGAACUACCCUAAGACCCAGCAAUUCCAUUACUGGGUAUUUAUCCAAACAUACAAACAUAAUGAUUUGAAAAAAAAAAUAAUGAUUUAAAGGGAUGCAUGCACCUCAAUAUUUAUAGCAGCAAUGUCCACAACUACCAAAAUAUAUAGAGAACCCAGAUUUCCAUCAAUAGAUGAAUGGAUAAAGAAGAUGUGGCAUAUAUAUACCGUGGAAUGUUAUUCACCCAUCAAAAACAAACCAAAAUCUUACCAUUGGCAAUGAUGUGAAUGGAACUAGAGGGUAUUAUGCUAAGUGAAAUAAGUCAGAGAAAGAAAAAUACCAUAUUAUUUCACUCAUACGUAGAAUUUAAGAAACAAAACAAAUGAGCAUAGGGAAAGGGAAGGCAAAAUAAAAUUAGAUUAAAACAGAGAGGGAGGCAAACCAUAAGAGAUGCUGAACUCUAGGAAACAAAAUGAGGGUUGCUGGAGGGGAGAGGUGUGAGGGAAAGGAUUAUAAUUGGGUGAUGGGCAUUAAGGAAGGCACUUGAAGUAAUAAGCACUGGAUAUUAUAUGGAGCUGAUGAAUCAUUAAAUUCUACCUCUGAAACUUAAAAAGAAACUUUUUAAA
This 3116-nucleotide long non-coding RNA is filed under the name Canis lupus familiaris (dog). RNAcentral describes it as "lncRNA (ENSCAFG00000057918.1)". Lineage: Eukaryota; Metazoa; Chordata; Mammalia; Carnivora; Canidae. The record is from RNAcentral.